CCUACGGGAGGCAGCAGUGAGGAAUAUUGGUCAAUGGGCGAAAGUCUGAACCAGCCAUGCCGCGUGCAUGAAGACGGCUCUAUGAGUUGUAAACUGCUUUUGUACAAGGGUAAACCUGAAUACGUGUAUUCAGCUGAACGUACUGUACGAAUACGGCACGGCUAACUACGUGCCAGCAGCCGCGGUAAUACGGAGGAUCCAAGCGUUAUCCGGAUGUAUUGGGUUUAAAGGGUGCGUAGGCGUAUGUAUAAGUUAGAGGUGAAAUGUCCGAGCUUAACUCGGGAACUGCCUCUAAUACUGUUGAUCUAGAGAGUAGAUGCGGUAGGCGGAAUGUAUGGUGUAGCGGUGAAAUGCUUAGAGAUCAUACAGAACACCGAUUGCGAAGGCAGCUUACCAAUCUAUAUCUGACGUUGAGGCACGAAAGCGUGGGGAGCAAACAGGAUUAGAUACCCUUGUAGUC
RNAcentral lists this ribosomal RNA (460 nucleotides) under uncultured bacterium. RNAcentral describes it as "partial 16S ribosomal RNA". It matches the Rfam family "Bacterial small subunit ribosomal RNA", at positions 338 to 795 of the family's 1533-position model. The record is from RNAcentral.